AUUGAACGCUGGAGGCAUGCUUUACACAUGCAAGUCGAACGGUAACAGGGUGCUUGCACCGCUGACGAGUGGCGAACGGGUGAGUAAUGCGUCGGAACGUGCCGAGUAGUGGGGGAUAACGCAGCGAAAGUUGUGCUAAUACCGCAUACGUACUGAGGUAGAAAGUGGGGGACCUUCGGGCCUCACGCUAUUCGAGCGGCCGACGUCUGAUUAGCUAGUAGGUGAGGUAAAGGCUCACCUAGGCGACGAUCAGUAGCGGGUCUGAGAGGAUGAUCCGCCCGACUGGGACUGAGGCACGGCCCAGACUCCUACGGGAGGCAGCAGUGGGGAAUUUUGGACAAUGGGCGAAAGCCUGAUCCAGCCAUGCCGCGUGUCUGAAGAAGGCCUUCGGGUUGUAAAGGACUUUUGUCAGGGAGGAAAUCCCUAGUGCUAAUAACACUGGGGGAUGACAGUACCUGAAGAAUAAGCACCGGCUAACUACGUGCCAGCAGCCGCCGUAA
This 500-nucleotide ribosomal RNA is filed under the name uncultured bacterium. Its description in RNAcentral is "partial 16S ribosomal RNA". It matches the Rfam family "Bacterial small subunit ribosomal RNA", at positions 30 to 523 of the family's 1533-position model. The record is from RNAcentral.